GGCGACAUAGCCAAGUGGUAAGGCAGAGGUCUGCAAAACCUCCAUCCCCCGGUUCAAAUCCGGGUGUCGCCUUCA
This 75-nucleotide transfer RNA is filed under the name Brunnivagina elsteri CCALA 953. RNAcentral describes it as "Calothrix elsteri CCALA 953 tRNA-Cys". It matches the Rfam family "tRNA". Rfam says of the family: Transfer RNA (tRNA) molecules are approximately 80 nucleotides in length. Their secondary structure includes four short double-helical elements and three loops (D, anti-codon, and T loops). Further hydrogen bonds mediate the characteristic L-shaped molecular structure. tRNAs have two regions of fundamental functional importance: the anti-codon, which is responsible for specific mRNA codon recognition, and the 3' end, to which the tRNAs corresponding amino acid is attached (by aminoacyl-tRNA synthetases). tRNAs cope with the degeneracy of the genetic code in two manners: having more than one tRNA (with a specific anti-codon) for a particular amino acid; and 'wobble' base-pairing, i.e. permitting non-standard base-pairing at the 3rd anti-codon position. Lineage: Bacteria; Bacillati; Cyanobacteriota; Cyanophyceae; Nostocales; Calotrichaceae. The record is from RNAcentral.